UAGUCCUUUCUAUUUUGUGUGCUAUCUCAGGUUGCUGAUUGCUGAUAAACUGCUGGUAAUGGUGAGUGGCUAUACUGGCAUCAGCAAAGGCAUAUCCCAAGAUAGCAGAACAUGAACAGAGUGGAGUAACGGCAUGGAUUGCUGACACCAGAAGCCAGGAUUUUCUCGGCAUCCCAACAAGUCACUAGGCAUGAGGAUCCAAGAAGGAAAGCUGUCUUGUGAGCCCAAGGCCACUAAAGACUUGCUGCAGAACAACCCCAGGGAUAAUUCAAGACAACUGCAGAGGCAGGAGGAGAAGCAGAGGAUUCGAGAAGUAGAAACUGCCACAUUCCAGGACAGCUUCUUAUCCUUCUCUCUUGUUUCACACAUGAGGAAACUGAGGCAGGAAGUUAAGUCACCUGUUUCUAGAAUCUUGGACCGGAGUAUCUAUAACAAUGUGCACAUGGACUCUCCUGGAAUCUUGUUAAAACACAGAUUCUGAUUGUAUAGAACUGGGAUAGAGACUGCAUUUCUAACCAGCUCUCAGGGGACAGUGACACUGUGUGAGUAGAAGGUGGACACAUUUGGACAGGUAGGCUGUGAGAAGGAAAAGAGCAAACCAC
This 602-nucleotide long non-coding RNA is filed under the name Chinchilla lanigera (long-tailed chinchilla). RNAcentral's name for it is "lncRNA (ENSCLAG00000024159.1)". The record is from RNAcentral. Lineage: Eukaryota; Metazoa; Chordata; Mammalia; Rodentia; Chinchillidae.